GACGAACGCUGGCGGCGUGCUUAACACAUGCAAGUCGAACGGAAAGGCCCUGCUUUUGUGGGGUGCUCGAGUGGCGAACGGGUGAGUAACACGUGAGUAACCUGCCCUUGACUUUGGGAUAACUUCAGGAAACUGGGGCUAAUACCGGAUAGGAGCUCCUGCUGCAUGGUGGGGGUCGGAAAGGUUCGGCGGUUGGGGAUGGACUCGCGGCUUAUCAGCUUGUUGGUGGGGUAGUGGCUUACCAAGGCGUUGACGGGUAGCCGGCCUGAGAGGGUGACCGGCCACAUUGGGACUGAGAUACGGCCCAGACUCCUACGGGAGGCAGCAGUGGGGAAUAUUGCACAAUGGGCGGAAGCCUGAUGCAGCAACGCCGCGUGCGGGAUGACGGCCUUCGGGUUGUAAACCGCUUUCGCCUGUGACGAAGCGUGAGUGACGGUAAUGGGUAAAGAAGCACCGGCUAACUACGUG
Molecule: ribosomal RNA, 468 nt
Filed under: uncultured bacterium
Lineage: Bacteria
Description: partial 16S ribosomal RNA
Rfam family: Bacterial small subunit ribosomal RNA
Source: RNAcentral